UAUGGAGGAUCCAAGCGUUAUCCGGAAUCAUUGGGUUUAAAGGGUCCGUAGGCGGACAAUUAAGUCAGUGGUGAAAGUCUUCCGCUUAACGGGAGAACUGCCAUUGAUACUGAUUGUCUUGAGUUAUUAUGAAGUGGUUAGAAUGAGUAGUGUAGCGGUGAAAUGCAUAGAUAUUACAUAGAAUACCGAUUGCGAAGGCAGAUCACUAAUAAUUUACUGACGCUGAGGGACGAAAGCGUAGGUAGCGAACAGG
This 253-nucleotide unclassified non-coding RNA is filed under the name uncultured Flavobacteriaceae bacterium. Its description in RNAcentral is "contains 16S-23S intergenic spacer region". It matches the Rfam family "Bacterial small subunit ribosomal RNA", at positions 524 to 776 of the family's 1533-position model. The record is from RNAcentral. Lineage: Bacteria; Pseudomonadati; Bacteroidota; Flavobacteriia; Flavobacteriales; Flavobacteriaceae.